ACGGAAGGCAGCAGUGAGGAAUAUUGGUCAAUGGACGCAAGUCUGAACCGGCCAUGCCGCGUGCAGGAAUAAGGCCCUAUGGGUCGUAAACUGCUUUUGUGGUGGAGCAAUAAGUCGUACGUGUACGGCGAUGAGAGUACAUCACGAAUAAGCAUCGGCUAACUCCGUGCCAGCAGCCGCGGUAAUACGGAGGAUGCAAGCGUUAUCCGGAUUUAUUGGGUUUAAAGGGUGCGUAGGCUGUGGUCCAAGUCAGGGGUGAAAGCCCGGAGCUCAACUCCGGAACUGCCUUUGAUACUGGAUUGCUGGAAUACGGAUGCCGUGGGAGGAAUGAGUAGUGUAGCGGUGAAAUGCAUAGAUAUUACUCAGAACACCGAUUGCGAAGGCAUCUCACGAAUCCGUCAUUGACGCUGAGGCACGAAAGCGUGGGGAUCAAACAGGAUUAGAUACCCUGGUA
RNAcentral lists this ribosomal RNA (454 nucleotides) under uncultured Rikenellaceae bacterium. RNAcentral's name for it is "partial 16S ribosomal RNA". It matches the Rfam family "Bacterial small subunit ribosomal RNA", at positions 341 to 792 of the family's 1533-position model. Lineage: Bacteria; Pseudomonadati; Bacteroidota; Bacteroidia; Bacteroidales; Rikenellaceae. The record is from RNAcentral.